GCCUUCGUGGUGAAGUGGUGAGGACGCUGGGCGCGUAUUCCGAAGGUCUGUGGUUCGAGUCCCGGCGAAGGCG
This 73-nucleotide transfer RNA is filed under the name Stegodyphus mimosarum. It matches the Rfam family "tRNA". From Rfam's summary of the family: Transfer RNA (tRNA) molecules are approximately 80 nucleotides in length. Their secondary structure includes four short double-helical elements and three loops (D, anti-codon, and T loops). The record is from Rfam by way of RNAcentral. Lineage: Eukaryota; Metazoa; Arthropoda; Arachnida; Araneae; Eresidae.